ACGGAAGGCAGCAGUGGGGAGUAUUGGACAAUGGGGGAAACCCUGAUCCAGCAACGCCGCGUGAGUGAAGAAGUGGUUCGCCAUGUAAAGCUCUAUCAAUAGGGAAUAUAAUGAAGGUACCUAACUAAGAAGCCCCGGCUAACUACGUGCCAGCAGCCGCGGUAAUACGUAGGGGGCAAGCGUUAUCCGGAUUUACUGGGUGUAAAGGGAGCGUAGACGGAAUGGCAAGUUUGAAGUGAAAUACCUGGGCUUAACCCGGGAAUUGCUUUGAAAACUGUUAAUCUAGAGUACUGGAGAGGUAUGGGGAAUUCCUAGUGUAGUAGUGAAAUGCGUAGAUAUUAGGAGGAACACCGGAGGCGAAGGCGCCAUACUGGACAGAAACUGACGUUGAGGCUCGAAAGCGUGGGGAGCAAACAGGAUUAGAUACCCUGGUA
RNAcentral lists this ribosomal RNA (434 nucleotides) under uncultured Lachnospiraceae bacterium. RNAcentral describes it as "bacterial SSU rRNA". It matches the Rfam family "Bacterial small subunit ribosomal RNA", at positions 341 to 792 of the family's 1533-position model. Lineage: Bacteria; Bacillati; Bacillota; Clostridia; Lachnospirales; Lachnospiraceae. The record is from RNAcentral.